This 253-nucleotide ribosomal RNA is filed under the name uncultured bacterium. RNAcentral describes it as "partial 16S ribosomal RNA". It matches the Rfam family "Bacterial small subunit ribosomal RNA", at positions 524 to 776 of the family's 1533-position model. The record is from RNAcentral.
UACGGAGGAUGCAAGCGUUAUCCGGAAUGAUUGGGCGUAAAGCGUCCGUAGGUGGUUUUGUAAGUCUGUGGUUAAAGCGUGGGGCUUAACCCCAUAACGGCCAUGGAAACUACAAGACUUGAGUGAAGUAGGGGUAGAGGGAAUUCCCAGUGUAGCGGUGAAAUGCGUAGAGAUUGGGAAGAACACCGGUGGCGAAAGCGCUCUACUGGACCUUAACUGACACUGAGGGACGAAAGCUAGGGGAGCGAAAGGG